Molecule: microRNA precursor, 91 nt
Filed under: Chlorocebus sabaeus (green monkey)
Lineage: Eukaryota; Metazoa; Chordata; Mammalia; Primates; Cercopithecidae
Description: miRNA (ENSCSAG00000026648.1)
Source: RNAcentral
AUACGAGCUAGACAAGUAGUACUCUCAGCAGAUUGAGGAGAGCACCACAGUGGUCACCACACAGUCCACCGAGGUUGGAGCUGCUGAGAUG